RNAcentral lists this ribosomal RNA (407 nucleotides) under uncultured bacterium. RNAcentral's name for it is "partial 16S ribosomal RNA". It matches the Rfam family "Bacterial small subunit ribosomal RNA", at positions 28 to 526 of the family's 1533-position model. The record is from RNAcentral.
GACGAACGCUGGCGGCGUGCCUAAUACAUGCAAGUCGAGCGAGCGGCGGACGGGUGAGUAACACGUAAUGAACCUAACGAUAAGCGGGGGACAACAUCCGGAAACGGGUGCUAAUACCGCAUACUUAUCGAAGGCCUUGCGGUGCAUUAGCUCGUUGGUGGGGUAACGGCCUACCAAGGCAAUGAUGCAUAGACGACCUGAGAGGGUAAUCGGCCACAAUGGGACGGAGACACGGCCCAAAGUCCUACGGGAGGCAGCAGUAGGGAAUCUUCCGCAAUGGGCGCAAGCCUUACGGAGCAACGCCGCGUGAGUGAAGAAGGUUUUCGGAUCGUAAAGCUCUUUUGUAAGAGAAGCGGUAUCUUACCAGAAAGCCACGGCUAACUACGUGCCAGCCGCCGCGGUAAUUC